AUGACGACACGGGGAGAGACUACUUGAAUGUAGCGCCGAAGGAGCAAGCAAUAAAAUUGUGAAUCUCUCAGGCAAAAAGACUCUUGUUUGACG
RNAcentral lists this non-coding RNA (93 nucleotides) under Priestia megaterium. RNAcentral describes it as "Bacillus megaterium Glycine sequence". It matches the Rfam family "Glycine riboswitch aptamer". From Rfam's summary of the family: This family represents the bacterial glycine riboswitch. Glycine riboswitches usually consist of two metabolite-binding aptamers domains with similar structures in tandem. RNAcentral also lists the same sequence under 1 other name. The record is from RNAcentral. Lineage: Bacteria; Bacillati; Bacillota; Bacilli; Caryophanales; Bacillaceae.